GAUGAACGCUGGCGGCGUGCCUAAUACAUGCAAGUCGAGCGAACAGACGAGGAGCCUGCUCCUCUGACGUUAGCGGCGGACGGGUGAGUAACACGUGGAUAACCUACCUAUAAGACUGGGAUAACUUCGGGAAACCGGAGCUAAUACCGGAUAAUAUAUUGAACCGCGUGGUUCAAUAGUGAAAGACGGUUUUGCUGUCACUUAUAGAUGGAUCCGCGCCGCAUUAGCUAGUUGGUAAGGUAACGGCUUACCAAGGCAACGAUGCGUAGCCGACCUGAGAGGGUGAUCGGCCACACUGGAACUGAGACACGGUCCAGACUCCUACGGGAGGCAGCAGUAGGGAAUCUUCCGCAAUGGGCGAAAGCCUGACGGAGCAACGCCGCGUGAGUGAUGAAGGUCUUCGGAUCGUAAAACUCUGUUAUUAGGGAAGAACAAAUGUGUAAGUAACUAUGCACGUCUUGACGGUACCUAAUCAGAAAGCCACGGCUAACUACGUG
RNAcentral lists this ribosomal RNA (497 nucleotides) under uncultured bacterium. RNAcentral describes it as "partial 16S ribosomal RNA". It matches the Rfam family "Bacterial small subunit ribosomal RNA", at positions 28 to 507 of the family's 1533-position model. The record is from RNAcentral.